This 446-nucleotide ribosomal RNA is filed under the name uncultured bacterium. RNAcentral's name for it is "bacterial SSU rRNA". It matches the Rfam family "Bacterial small subunit ribosomal RNA", at positions 329 to 792 of the family's 1533-position model. The record is from RNAcentral.
GACCAGACUCCUACGGGAGGCAGCAGUGGGGAAUAUUGGACAAUGGGGGAAACCCUGAUCCAGCGACGCCGCGUGAGUGAAGAAGUAUUUCGGUACGUAAAGCUCUAUCAGCAGGAAAGAAAAUGACGGUACCUGACUAAGAAGCCCCGGCUAACUACGUGCCAGCAGCCGCGGUAAUACGUAGGGGGCAAGCGUUAUCCGGAUUUACUGGGUGUAAAGGGAGCGUAGGCGGUAGUGCAAGUCAGAAGUGAAAGCCCGGGGCUCAACUCCGGGACUGCUUUUGAAACUGUGUUACUAGAUUGCAGGAGAGGUAAGUGGAAUUCCUAGUGUAGCGGUGAAAUGCGUAGAUAUUAGGAGGAACACCAGUGGCGAAGGCGGCUUACUGGACUGUAAAUGACGCUGAGGCUCGAAAGCGUGGGGAGCAAACAGGAUUAGAUACCCUCGUA